UACGUAGGGUGCGAGCGUUGUCCGGAAUUAUUGGGCGUAAAGAGCUCGUAGGCGGUGUGUCACGUCGGCCGUGAAAACCUGGGGCUUAACUCUGGGCGUGCGGUCGAUACGGGCAUCACUAGAGUUCGGCAGGGGAGACUGGAAUUCCUGGUGUAGCGGUGAAAUGCGCAGAUAUCAGGAGGAACACCGGUGGCGAAGGCGGGUCUCUGGGCAUUUCCUGACGCUGAGGCGCGAAAGCGUGGGGAGCAAACAGG
This 254-nucleotide ribosomal RNA is filed under the name uncultured bacterium. RNAcentral's name for it is "partial 16S ribosomal RNA". It matches the Rfam family "Bacterial small subunit ribosomal RNA", at positions 524 to 776 of the family's 1533-position model. The record is from RNAcentral.